This 484-nucleotide ribosomal RNA is filed under the name uncultured bacterium. RNAcentral's name for it is "partial 16S ribosomal RNA". It matches the Rfam family "Bacterial small subunit ribosomal RNA", at positions 30 to 507 of the family's 1533-position model. The record is from RNAcentral.
AUUGAACGCUGGCGGAAUGCUUUACACAUGCAAGUCGAACGGCAGCACGGGGGCAACCCUGGUGGCGAGUGGCGAACGGGUGAGUAAUACAUCGGAACGUGCCCGGUCGUGGGGGAUAACGUAGCGAAAGUUACGCUAAUACCGCAUACGAUCUGAGGAUGAAAGCGUGGGACCUUCGGGCCUCGCGCGAUCGGAGCGGCCGAUGUCAGAUUAGGUAGUUGGUGGGGUAAAGGCCUACCAAGCCGACGAUCUGUAGCUGGUCUGAGAGGACGACCAGCCACACUGGGACUGAGACACGGCCCAGACUCCUACGGGAGGCAGCAGUGGGGAAUUUUGGACAAUGGGCGCAAGCCUGAUCCAGCCAUUCCGCGUGCAGGACGAAGGCCUUCGGGUUGUAAACUGCUUUUGUAUGGAACGAAAAGGCUCUGGCUAAUACCUGGGGCUCAUGACGGUACCGUAAGAAUAAGCACCGGCUAACUACGUG